Ictidomys tridecemlineatus (thirteen-lined ground squirrel) is the source of this 544-nucleotide non-coding RNA. The record is from RefSeq and is a predicted model, not a curated record. NCBI's taxonomy places the organism in Eukaryota, Metazoa, Chordata, Mammalia, Rodentia, Sciuridae.
AUCCUCAGUACCAAAACAAAACACAAAAACAAAAACAAAAAACAACCAACCAAGGGGAUGGGUGUAUUAACUUGAUUUAUAGAUUUAUUACAGAUUCAUUUGAUGACUGGGUGUCAAGAGCAGAUAAACAUGCCUAUGAAUCCUUGAAAUCCUAUUCAAAAUGCUUGCUUCCUUUUAGCUCACCAAGGAUUCCAUAUGUCAAACGAGGUCAAGAAUCACCACUAGAGAAAAAAUCCAUUAACUUGGCCUUUGGAGAAAUGCGUUUAACCAGAUGGCUACCAAGCCUCCUAAAAUCCAUUGAGCAGCUUGUGGAAGGGUACAGGAUGCCUCAAUACAACUAACCAUUUCACUCUGUCCCCAGACAGUCCUGCUUUCAUUUCAAACCAGUCAGAAGCCUUGGCCAGCUUAACACAAAAAGCAACAAAAGGAACAAUAUCCAAUGAUAACAGGAUGUUUGAGCCUUCACAAGCCUCCAAGGAAAGGAAUAACAACCAAGAAUCUCCAAAAAUGAUUCAGAUUUAUAAAAUGCACUUUACUUUUCUUA